AGUGAACGCUGGCGGUAGGCCUAACACAAGCAAGUCGAACGGCAGCACAGAGGAGCUUGCUCCUUGGGUGGCGAGUGGCGGACGGGUGAGGAAUACAUCGGAAUCUACUCUGUCGUGGGGGAUAACGUAGGGAAACUUACGCUAAUACCGCAUACGACCUACGGGUGAAAGCAGGGGAUCUUCGGACCUUGCGCGAUUGAAUGAGCGGAUGUCGGAUUAGCUAGUUGGCGGGGUAAAGGCCCACCAAGGCGACGAUCCGUAGCUGGUCUGAGAGGAUGAUCAGCCACACUGGAACUGAGACACGGUCCAGACUCCUACGGGGGCAGCAGUGGGGAAUAUUGGACAAUGGGCGCAAGCCUGAUCCAGCCAUACCGCGUGGGUGAAGAAGGCCUUCGGGUUGUAAAGCCCUUUUGUUGGGAAAGAAAUCCAUCUGGUUAAUACCCGGGUGGGAUGACGGUACCCAAAGAAUAAGCACCGGCUAACUUCGUGCCAGCAGCCGCGGUAA
RNAcentral lists this ribosomal RNA (505 nucleotides) under uncultured bacterium. Its description in RNAcentral is "partial 16S ribosomal RNA". It matches the Rfam family "Bacterial small subunit ribosomal RNA", at positions 29 to 523 of the family's 1533-position model. The record is from RNAcentral.